AAAACAUAGCCCCAUGACAAAGAAUGUGAGGUGAGACCUGCCCAGUGAAUUUUAAACGGCCGCUAAAGCGCUAAGGUAGCAUAAUGAUUUGCCCCUUAAUUAGGGGCUAGAAUGAAAGGUUAAACGGGUUAAAGCUUUUUUAAACACAACACUUAAAACUAAACUAUUUGUGAAAAUGCAAAUAUGGUAAUGAAAGACCAAAAGACCCUAGGAGCUAUAGUCUUCUAGAUAACCAAUCAAGAAGACUUUUAUUGGGGUAAUGUUGGAUAUUCAUCCAAAAUACAUGUUAAGUAUAUCAGAUUCUAAUCUAUUUAAGCUACCCUAGGGAUAACAGGCUAAUCUUUUUUAAAAGUCCUAAUUAACAAAAAGAACUAGCACCUCGAUGUUGGCUUAAGAGUACCUGUAGUGCAGCAACUACAGCGAAGGGCUUGUUCCGCCCGUAACUUCUUACGUGAUCUGA
This 460-nucleotide ribosomal RNA is filed under the name Ophryotrocha puerilis. Its description in RNAcentral is "partial 16S ribosomal RNA". It matches the Rfam family "Bacterial large subunit ribosomal RNA", at positions 1810 to 2608 of the family's 2925-position model. The record is from RNAcentral. Lineage: Eukaryota; Metazoa; Annelida; Polychaeta; Eunicida; Dorvilleidae.